UGCCAUGUGAUGCCAUGUUGUGCCAUGCUGGGUGGGCGACGGCAGUGGAGGAAGCCGGUGAGAAUCCGGCGCGGUCCCGCCACCGUAACCGGGGAGCGAACCCUCACCGUGUGUCACGGACGUGUAG
This 127-nucleotide non-coding RNA is filed under the name Frankia sp. The record is from RNAcentral. Lineage: Bacteria; Bacillati; Actinomycetota; Actinomycetes; Frankiales; Frankiaceae.